This 28-nucleotide non-coding RNA is filed under the name Cricetulus griseus (Chinese hamster). The record is from RNAcentral. Lineage: Eukaryota; Metazoa; Chordata; Mammalia; Rodentia; Cricetidae.
AGUGGGUCAGUAUGAGAAUGUGAGAAGG